GGCGCGCAGGUCUCCUCCGCCUUCAGCAUGGCCCGCAGCACCCGGUCGUUGAGGAGGUUGGCAUCGGGGUACGCGCGGCGGAUGGUUUCCACUUCGCAGCACAGGAGCUGGUGUUCCAUGGCUGGGGCUCUUCCUGGGCAGCUGGGGAGGGCUGUGGGUCCUGGCUGGGUCCGCGCUCGGCUCUCGCUUCUGCUGCCCCGCGCUCCCUCGCGCUCUUCUGCCCCUCGCCGGAGCGUGCGGACUCUGCUGCUCGCUGCUACUGCGCCGACAGCCCUCUGGAGGCUCCAGGACUUUGCAACUUCAACAAAAC
Molecule: long non-coding RNA, 310 nt
Filed under: Homo sapiens (human)
Lineage: Eukaryota; Metazoa; Chordata; Mammalia; Primates; Hominidae
Source: RNAcentral